RNAcentral lists this ribosomal RNA (501 nucleotides) under uncultured bacterium. RNAcentral describes it as "partial 16S ribosomal RNA". It matches the Rfam family "Bacterial small subunit ribosomal RNA", at positions 30 to 523 of the family's 1533-position model. The record is from RNAcentral.
AUUGAACGCUGGCGGCAGGCUUAACACAUGCAAGUCGAGCGGGGGAGGUUGCUUCGGUAACUGACCUAGCGGCGGACGGGUGAGUAAUGCUUAGGAAUCUGCCUAUUAGUGGGGGACAACGUUCCGAAAGGAACGCUAAUACCGCAUACGCCCUACGGGGGAAAGCAGGGGAUCUUCGGACCUUGCGCUAAUAGAUGAGCCUAAGUCGGAUUAGCUAGUUGGUGGGGUAAAGGCCUACCAAGGCGACGAUCUGUAGCGGGUCUGAGAGGAUGAACCGCCACACUGGGACUGAGACACGGCCCAGACUCCUACGGGAGGCAGCAGUGGGGAAUAUUGGACAAUGGGCGGAAGCCUGAUCCAGCCAUGCCGCGUGUGUGAAGAAGGCCUUUUGGUUGUAAAGCACUUUAAGCGAGGAGGAGGCUCCUUUAGUUAAUACCUAAAGAGAGUGGACGUUACUCGCAGAAUAAGCACCGGCUAACUCUGUGCCAGCCGCCGCAGUAA